Molecule: unclassified non-coding RNA, 331 nt
Filed under: Hevea brasiliensis (rubber tree)
Lineage: Eukaryota; Viridiplantae; Streptophyta; Magnoliopsida; Malpighiales; Euphorbiaceae
Source: RNAcentral
AGAUAAACUAAAAUACAAUAAGAAAUCCUAAAUAAAAUAGGAAAAAAUCUAAAUUCUAGAUAAAGUAUUUUACAUUAAUAAGGCCCAAAUAAAAUAGAAAACUUCCUAAUUAAUUUUAAUCUAAUUUCUAUAGCUGUUAGAAGUCUACACAAGAUGUCCUAGGUGAAUUAGGACUACUGGUGAUUAAAAUUAAUUAAAAAAAAACAUUUUUGCCUUGUUGUCAAGAAAAUUUCAUAGCUGGGCAUGGGAUUUGCUGCCCAAAAAUCAAUUUUGCCCAAACUUGCUAAAAAUUGUUAUUUUCCCUCACUUUCACACCAGCAUGCUUCCAUUG